UGGUGGAGUGAUGUGUCUGGUUAAUUCCGUUAACGAACGAGACCUUAACCUGCUAAAUAGUUACAUGUAACCUCGGUUACAUGGGCAACUUCUUAGAGGGACUUUACGUGUCUAACGUAAGGAAGUUUGAGGCAAUAACA
RNAcentral lists this ribosomal RNA (140 nucleotides) under uncultured eukaryote. Its description in RNAcentral is "partial 18S ribosomal RNA". It matches the Rfam family "Eukaryotic small subunit ribosomal RNA", at positions 1299 to 1458 of the family's 1831-position model. The record is from RNAcentral.